GCGCACAUGGUGAAAUUGGUAGACACGCCAUCUUGAGGGGGUGGUGCCGCAAGGUAUGGGAGUUCGAGUCUCCCUGUGCGCA
Molecule: transfer RNA, 82 nt
Filed under: Hymenobacteraceae bacterium
Lineage: Bacteria; Pseudomonadati; Bacteroidota; Cytophagia; Cytophagales; Hymenobacteraceae
Description: tRNA-Leu
Rfam family: tRNA
About the family: Transfer RNA (tRNA) molecules are approximately 80 nucleotides in length.
Source: RNAcentral